Molecule: long non-coding RNA, 1444 nt
Filed under: Salmo salar (Atlantic salmon)
Lineage: Eukaryota; Metazoa; Chordata; Actinopteri; Salmoniformes; Salmonidae
Description: lncRNA (ENSSSAG00000087851.1)
Source: RNAcentral
UGGGGAUUAGGUUGUAUACUGUCUGUAGGGGUGAUGGGGAUUAGGUUGUAUACUAUACUGUCUGUAGGGGUGAUGGGGAUUAGGUUGUAUACUGUCUGUAGGGGGAUGGGGAUUAGGUUGUAUACUAUACUGUCUGUAGGGGUGAUGGGGAUUAGGUUGUAUACUAUACUGUCUGUAGGGGUGAUAGGGAUUAGGUUGUAUACUAUACUGUCUGUAGGGGUGAUGGGGAUUAGGUUGUAUACUAUACUGUCUGUAGGGGUGAUAGGGAUUAGGUUGUAUACUAUACUGUCUGUAGGGGUGAUGGGGAUUAGGUUGUAUACUAUACUGUCUGUAGGGGUGAUGGGGAUUAGGUUGUAUACUAUACUGUCUGUAGGGGUGAUAGGGAUUAGGUUGUAUACUAUGCUGUCUGUAGGGGUGAUGGGGAUUAGGUUGUAUACUAUGCUGUCUGUAGGGGUGAUGGGGAUUAGGUUGUAUACUAUACUGUUUGUAGGGGUGAUGGGGAUUAGGUUGUAUACUGUCUGUAGGGGUGAUAGGGAUUAGGUUGUAUACUACACUGUCUGUAGGGGUGAUGGGGAUUAGAUUGUAUACUAUACUGUCUGUAGGGGUGAUGGGGAUUAGGUUGUAUUCUAUACUGUCUGUAGGGGUGAUGGGGAUUAGGUUGUAUUCUAUACUGUCUGUAGGGGUGAUGGGGAUUAGGUUGUAUACUAGACUGUCUGUAGGGGUGAUAGGGAUUAGGUUGUAUUCUAUACUGUCUGUAGGGGUGAUGGGGAUUAGGUUGUAUACUAUACUGUCUGUAGGGGUGAUAGGGAUUAGGUUGUAUACUAUGCUGUCUGUAGGGGUGAUGGGGAUUAGGUUGUAUACUAUACUGUCUGUAGGGGGAUGGGGAUUAGGUUGUAUACUAUACUGUCUGUAGGGGUGAUAGGGAUUAGGUUGUAUACUAUACUGUCUGUAGGGGUGAUGGGGAUUAGGUUGUAUACUAUACUGUCUGUAGGGGUGAUGGGGAUUAGGUUGUAUACUAUACUGUCUGUAGGGGUGAUAGGGAUUAGGUUGUAUACUGUCUGUAGGGGUGAUAGGGAUUACAUGUGGAUCAUAGUAUUGGAAGAGUUUUUCUUCCACCAGGAGACUUCUAGUUAAAUCCUGUACUUCUAAUGUUAUAUUAUUGCAUCUUUCAGGGAAAUCGUAAAAUGAUGUUUCAUGACCGUGUAUGACCUUAGAGUCAAAUCCCGAUCCGUCCCGUACAGUUUACAGCUAUGGGACUACCCUGUUGUGCAUGACAACCACAAGCUCACUGAGUGGCGGUAGUUUAUGGAGUUAUAGAGGUGAGACACAUAGGCCCUGUAGACGCUUCAGUUUAAUUCUGUUAUUAUGUCAUUAUAAUGUGACUGCCACCUUGACCCUGUCCACCCUCACCUUCAGAAGAUCACCCCUUAUCUAAUUUACCUCC